GUGUCAGCAGCCGCGGUAAUACGUAGGUGGCAAGCGUUAUCCGGAUUUACUGGGUGUAAAGGGCGUGUAGGCGGAUCGACAAGUUGGAUGUGAAAUGUACCGGCUCAACUGGUACGCUGCACCCAAAACUGUCGACCUUGAGUGUUGGAGAGGAUAGUGGAAUUCCUAGUGUAGCGGUAAAAUGCGUAGAUAUUAGGAGGAACACCAGUGGCGAAGGCGGCUAUCUGGACAACAACUGACGCUGAGGCGCGAAAGCGUGGGGAGCAAACAGGAUUAGAAACCCCAGUAGUCC
Molecule: ribosomal RNA, 292 nt
Filed under: uncultured bacterium
Lineage: Bacteria
Description: partial 16S ribosomal RNA
Rfam family: Bacterial small subunit ribosomal RNA
Source: RNAcentral